CGGCGGACGGGUGAGUAACGCGUGGGUAACCUGCCUCAUACAGGGGGAUAACAGUUGGAAACGGCUGCUAAUACCACAUAAGCGCACAGUACCGCAUGGUACGGUGUGAAAAACUCCGGUGGUAUGAGAUGGACCCGCGUCUGAUUAGGUAGUUGGUGGGGUAACGGCCUACCAAGCCGACGAUCAGUAGCCGACCUGAGAGGGUGACCGGCCACAUUGGGACUGAGACACGGCCCAA
RNAcentral lists this ribosomal RNA (238 nucleotides) under uncultured bacterium. RNAcentral describes it as "partial 16S ribosomal RNA". It matches the Rfam family "Bacterial small subunit ribosomal RNA", at positions 96 to 334 of the family's 1533-position model. The record is from RNAcentral.